GUCCUUUUAACACACUUGUGAAGUUGUGGCUUUCAAGAUACUUGCAGACUUUUGGCAGUAUUAUGUGUCUGUCUCAUUAGCCAUAUUAGUGCAUUAGCUGGUAGAAUUAGUGCCUCUAGUACCUCAUAUAAAUUAUAUAAACAAUAGCAGUGUUGACGUAGUUUUUACUUAGGCUUUUAAAAAGUAAAAACUUAGUGGAAGUGCAGAAGAGGUCUCUGUCACUCCUUUCUGCUAAGCUAAAGGAGCUGUCAGCAUGGGAGAUGCAGGACUUGCUUCUUGAAACGUGUCAGUGCUAUUACUAUUGAAGCAUCUCAAACAUGUCUUGUUUUUUUGACAGCAUUAGCACGCUGCAUUUCCUCCUGCAGCUGUGAUUUCUGAACAAGCAAAAAUACCAGCUGUGGGAAUCUCACCUCUCUCUUGCCCUAACAGACCCGAAUGCAGUUUCCUUCCCCUGUGUACCUGUCAGAAACUGGUGCUGGAGUUUACAAGCUUCAUUUUUUAAAUUAGCUACAGGGCACACGUUUAAUGUUCGGUCCUGCUGAGUGUGUGCCUUUGCCAUCAAUUACACUCCUUGUGUGUAAUUCUGAGCAAUGAGCGAUCCUCAUUGCUGGCUUGGGGCUGGAAUGCUGAGCACGGCUGUGUACAGGCCAUGUGAUAAUCUGUUCCCAGGAUUUGUGUUUAUCAUUACAGAGUUAGGUGAAUAAACAAACCUGCUGCAUGCUUCAGAAAGGAGUUACAAAGUUCAUAAAAUUCGUAGAAGAAAGCAUAUAGUUUUCUUUGUUUUGUAUAAAAAUGCAACCACAGAGGCAUACUGCAUGUUUGAAAAUGAGUGCUGUCUUUGCUCCUUGCUGUCUGGAAUGAGGAUAAAGAUGCGGUUUUCACCACACUGUGCCCUUGAUCUGGCUCAUGGUGCAGCUACACCUCUACCUGCACCAGCUGAGUGCAGGUUGAGCCAGGAAGGGCCCCUCAGGACUGUGGCACAGGGAAAUCCGUGUUGCAGGGAUGUUCAGAAAUUCAUCUUCUGCCAGGCACAGGAUUUUUUCUAGGUCAGAGAACGAACCAGAACCAGCAGAAAACUCACUGAGCUUGAACAUGGGAUACAGGCUCCUGGAUACAGCCAGAAAAAGGUUGGUUGUGCUUAGAGCAACUCAACAGAAUCUAAGGGCUGAAAUGGAGAAAAGGAAACUUUUUCUGGGAAGAAGUGUAAAUUCAGGUUCAGUGGAAAUCCUGGGAACGUAAUGAGAUUCUCUAAUACUGUUCGGACUUAAUGCAAAUGGUGGAACUCCACUGAAGCUGAACCUGCCUCCCUCAGAUCUGAGUUCUGCCGUUUAGAUCUUACAAAGUUUGCCUGCCUGGAGCUUAUUUUAGAUCACCACAUGCCACCUUGUGGCAAAUUAACAUGAUGCAUCUGUUCUUUUUCCAACUCUAAACCACUGCUUUUCUCUGUUAAGGUCCUGCCCUCGUUUUACAUUCUUUGGAUUGAUGUCGAGGCAAGAUGGGUUUCAUCUCCAGAGUUCCUGCCCUUCAUCUUGGUAGUUCUGCGAAGCUUGGAACCACCUGUUCAAUGCGGUAGUAUUUUGUAGUAUGAGGUUAGGCCAAAAUAAAGUGUGCUUCUCAGCAAGAUGUUCUGAGUGCUUCCCAGAAACCUUGCUAUUCAAAGCUCACAGCUAGCUGAAAAAUAAGUACAUGGGGAUAAUCCAAAAAGUUAUUGGAAAGAAUACGGAGUGUUUACCUUCAACCUUCUAUCUUUUUUUCUGCAUCCAGGUUGUCUGUGGCCCUUACCUCUUUUGCAUAAGCAUUGGAUUUAAAUGCUUUAUUCCUCUUUUUAUUUCCUGACAUCGCACUUUCUCACUAGAGAUAGCAGUGUUAUUUUCCAGCGUAAGCACAGCCUUUACAAAGAUGUUUCAGGUUUUUACUACAAGCCUUUCAUUUGCACUGUUUAUGAAGGCAUAUCAUACAUUGUAAAAUGUCUGUCUUGUUUGCUGGGAACAUCAGUGUGAUUGGAAAGAAACAAAAGACUACAAGGGAUAACCAGCAGAUGUAAUGAAACAAUGCCAAUAGCAAGAGAAAAGAGGCUGUUUCUGGGGCUAGGAAAGUCCUCAAUGGAAUGUGGUCAUGCUAUUAUGAGUUUGGAGAGUGGAUCCUAAAUACAAACAAGUUUGUAUGCACAUUCACUGGAGCUGGUGGAUCUUUUAGAUGCUGAGUAUUGUGCUGGAACUCAUUCACCUUUUUAACUUUCCACCUUUUCCUGGAAAAAUCAAGUAAUGCCCAUGGCUGCGAGGUUUCCAAGAUGUGUUGCCUGGACAGUGUGUUGGUGGCACCUCCUGCUCACCCCUGCUGUGCUCUGGCAUACAACAGUGUGAGGAUGGAGACCCCUCACUGCGAACUGGACUUUGUUUCAGGGCAGGACAAGUGCAGCAGAUAAAAUUCUGCUGCAUGUUGUGACCAGUUCAUGUCCUUUUAUUUGUUUUUUUGUAUAUCUGGUUCCUGUUUUUUCUAGAAAGGCAAGUGUUUCUCAGUCACAGUUACCAGUCUUCUCCCUAUUGCAUAGAGGUUUCUUGCUCUUACUGCUUUUAUUAUUAUUGUUGUUUUCAUGGGACCUUGUGUUGCAUUUCCUUAAUCUUUUGGGGUUUUGAGUGCUUCACAUUUGUUAGCUUCAAGACCUUAAAACUGUGCUUUGGCCUUUAUCGAGCUGAUAGCCUGAUAAGUCAAGUGAGAAGUUGUUUAGAGUAAGAUUGUUGUCACAAAGAGUAGUUGUCCUGUAGUUUACCUUAGCCACACUUUUCAUUAAAGGAUUUCUUUUUAAUAAUUACUGUGCCUCAGCAGAGAGCUAAUAAUCACCUCCUGUUUUACAGGAGCACAGGGGAAAGGCCUGAGUGUCUGGGGCUUUCAGUGGCUGUACUUUAAAAUCAUGAUUAAGAAACUUGAUAGUCACAGUCUACAGCUUUGACUCUGGUGAGUUCUUUCACAGAUCAGGGAAUACAGGAGCUUUGAGACCCUCUCCUCUCCUCUGUGUGUAGUGCGUGUUCUCCUUCCAGAAAGGUGUUACAGAAAUAACAUUGUGCAUGGACACUUGGUUCUGCAAGGACAUAAGCAACAUCAUAUGAUGAACCUGCUUUUCUACAACUAACUGUAAGUGGCUUUUCUGAUCCCACAAAGUUGAGUUAUUUUGUUUUUUAUAAGAAAUAGGGUGCUUUAAAAUUGUGAUUGAACUCAAGGAAACUGCAUUUGAUUUGCGGAUAUUAUGGAAGCAAUAAAAAAGAGUUAAAAAAAAAAAUCAGCAGUUUUCUGGAGAUUAUUUGUUCAGCUCUACUAUUAAUACUGUUUUGUUUGCCAGACUAUGAUCAAAAACAUUUGGCAGGCAAGACUUGCUCAGGAAAGUGAGCCAGUAGAGUUGAGCUGUCAUCCAAGUACGUACAGAAAAACUGUUCUCUUGGCAUGGAAAACAGACUGUUUACAGAAAUAAUAAACAUGCCCUCUAAAAUUAUGUUCCUUCUCUCUAAAAUCAUGGAAGGUCGCAAGACUUUGACCCUACAGAAGGAGCAUAACACUUUAUGAGACUUCUGUCAAAGCACAUGAUAAAAAAUAAAUACACUGUAAUAAAGAAGUGUCAGUCUGAUGGCUCAAAUGUGCCUUCCUAACAUAUCCUGUCUCCCUUCUUUCAGAUGUGGUAUGCACACUGCCACGCAAAGGAAGCCCAUCUGGAGGGGAUAUCAAAUCAAUCCAUUUUCUUGACGUAUCGGUUGAUGUAAUUAACUUUUGUUUCAUCUCCCAAGUAAACCUUGUAAACAAUAAAACGUGUCAAAGUGAAAUACAA
Molecule: long non-coding RNA, 3817 nt
Organism: Pezoporus occidentalis (night parrot)
Lineage: Eukaryota; Metazoa; Chordata; Aves; Psittaciformes; Psittacidae
Exons: 2
Source: RefSeq, a predicted model, not a curated record